AGUGAACGCUGGCGGUAUGCCUAACACAUGCAAGUCGAACGGCAGCACAGUGAGAGCUUGCUCUCACGGGUGGCGAGUGGCGGACGGGUGAGGAAUGCAUCGGAAUCUACUUUUUCGGGGGGGACAACGUAGGGAAACUUACGCUAAUACCGCAUACGACCUACGAGUGAAAGCAGGGGAGAUUCGGACCUUGCCCGAAUGAAUGAGCCGUUGUCGGAUUAGCGAGUUGGCGGGGGAAAGGCCCACCAAGCCAACGGUCCUUAGCUGGUCUGAGAGGAUGGCCAGCGACACGGGACUUGAACCACGGUCCAGACUCCUCCGGGGGGCACAAGUGGGGAAUAUCGGCAAAAGGGCGCAAGCCUGAUCCAGCCAUACCGCGGGGGUGAGGAAGGCCUUGGGGUUGAAAAGCCUUUUUGUUGGGAAGGAAAAGCGGCAGGUUAAUACGCCCAUGUUCUGACGGUACCCAAAGAGUAAGCACCGGCUAACUUCGUG
RNAcentral lists this ribosomal RNA (492 nucleotides) under uncultured bacterium. RNAcentral describes it as "partial 16S ribosomal RNA". It matches the Rfam family "Bacterial small subunit ribosomal RNA", at positions 29 to 507 of the family's 1533-position model. The record is from RNAcentral.